RNAcentral lists this ribosomal RNA (803 nucleotides) under Microbacterium sp. R67. RNAcentral's name for it is "bacterial SSU rRNA". It matches the Rfam family "Bacterial small subunit ribosomal RNA", at positions 619 to 1420 of the family's 1533-position model. Lineage: Bacteria; Bacillati; Actinomycetota; Actinomycetes; Micrococcales; Microbacteriaceae. The record is from RNAcentral.
GGCUGCAGUGGGUACGGCAGACUAGAGUGCGGUAGGGGAGAUUGGAAUUCCUGGUGUAGCGGUGGAAUGCGCAGAUAUCAGGAGGAACACCGAUGGCGAAGGCAGAUCUCUGGGCCGUAACUGACGCUGAGGAGCGAAAGGGUGGGGAGCAAACAGGCUUAGAUACCCUGGUAGUCCACCCCGUAAACGUUGGGAACUAGUUGUGGGGACCAUUCCACGGUUUCCGUGACGCAGCUAACGCAUUAAGUUCCCCGCCUGGGGAGUACGGCCGCAAGGCUAAAACUCAAAGGAAUUGACGGGGACCCGCACAAGCGGCGGAGCAUGCGGAUUAAUUCGAUGCAACGCGAAGAACCUUACCAAGGCUUGACAUAUACGAGAACGGGCCAGAAAUGGUCAACUCUUUGGACACUCGUAAACAGGUGGUGCAUGGUUGUCGUCAGCUCGUGUCGUGAGAUGUUGGGUUAAGUCCCGCAACGAGCGCAACCCUCGUUCUAUGUUGCCAGCACGUAAUGGUGGGAACUCAUGGGAUACUGCCGGGGUCAACUCGGAGGAAGGUGGGGAUGACGUCAAAUCAUCAUGCCCCUUAUGUCUUGGGCUUCACGCAUGCUACAAUGGCCGGUACAAAGGGCUGCAAUACCGUGAGGUGGAGCGAAUCCCAAAAAGCCGGUCCCAGUUCGGAUUGAGGUCUGCAACUCGACCUCAUGAAGUCGGAGUCGCUAGUAAUCGCAGAUCAGCAACGCUGCGGUGAAUACGUUCCCGGGUCUUGUACACACCGCCCGUCAAGUCAUGAAAGUCGGUAACAA